Molecule: long non-coding RNA, 489 nt
Organism: Saccostrea cuccullata (small rock oyster)
Lineage: Eukaryota; Metazoa; Mollusca; Bivalvia; Ostreida; Ostreidae
Exons: 3
Source: RefSeq, a predicted model, not a curated record
AUGCAGCAACCAAUAUGGCUCAAGGUUCAGAAGAAAUUUGAGGCUGACCAGGAUCCUGAAGUGAAGAGCAGUCCCUCUCCCAUUUAACAGCGUUCAUGAGCAGAAAGUGCGGAAGCAGAGAUAGCCACCUCUGAAGGUCAGUCCGGAGUGUUUGCUGCAUUCAGAAAUUAUGGGGUGUAUAGUAGUUGUAAGUAGCGUUACAAAGGUGUUUCUUAGUCUUAGGUUUAGUUUGUAUAGUAUUUCCAGUAGGUGCAGUUGUGUUGUAGUUUGAGUUAGUAAGUAGGCUUUAGUUGAUAGUUAGACAGCUUAGAGGAGUGUAGGUUAUUAUUGUAAUUAAGGUAUUUGUUAGUUAGUGCAUGAUUAGUGCUUGUGGUGGAUAGGUUUGCAUGAUUAACACCCUAACAAGCAGGGUUCUCCAUGAGCUGUUUUACUGUGUUGGUCCCAACACGGAAAAAUGUUCUCCGACACAGUAAAGAUUCAAAUUUUAUC